RNAcentral lists this ribosomal RNA (497 nucleotides) under uncultured bacterium. RNAcentral describes it as "partial 16S ribosomal RNA". It matches the Rfam family "Bacterial small subunit ribosomal RNA", at positions 28 to 507 of the family's 1533-position model. The record is from RNAcentral.
GAUGAACGCUGGCGGCGUGCCUAAUACAUGCAAGUCGAGCGAACAGAUAAGGAGCUUGCUCCUUUGACGUUAGCGGCGGACGGGUGAGUAACACGUGGGUAACCUACCUAUAAGACUGGGAUAACUUCGGGAAACCGGAGCUAAUACCGGAUAAUAUUUCGAACCGCAUGGUUCGAUAGUGAAAGAUGGUUUUGCUAUCACUUAUAGAUGGACCCGCGUCGUAUUAGCUAGUUGGUAAGGUAACGGCUUACCAAGGCGACGAUACGUAGCCGACCUGAGAGGGAGAUCGGCCACACGGGAACUGAGACACGGUCCAGACUCCUACGGGAGGCAGCAGUAGGGAAUCUUCCGCAAUGGACGAGAGCCUGACGGAGCAGCGCCGCGUGAGUGAUGAAGGUCUUCGGAUCGGAAAACUCUGUUAUUAGGGAAGAACAUACGUGUAAGUAACUGUGCACGUCUUGACGGUACCUAGUCAGAAAGCCACGGCUAACUACGUG